Molecule: non-coding RNA, 110 nt
Organism: Acanthosepion pharaonis
Lineage: Eukaryota; Metazoa; Mollusca; Cephalopoda; Sepiida; Sepiidae
Source: the annotation of a GenBank genome assembly
UACGCUCUUAUCACGUCGAAACACCGGUUCUCUUAUGAUCACCGAAGUUAAGCAACGUCAAACCUGCUCAGUACUUAGAUGGGUGUCCGCUUGGAAAUAUCAGAUGCUAU